CUAAAAGAAUCCCAGCCACGGCAGCUUGUAUCCAGAGUCUAUUCAGCUGAUCUCUCCCAGGCAACAACCUCUUCCAGAGGGGGCAGUGGGCCAGGUAUUUGGCCUUGGUCAUCUAUCAUCGUCCCCCAACACAUGCUACAGAGUGUCCCUCCUCGACAUUUCAACUCUGGCACGAAGGCACUGUUCCUGACAUGAAGCUUAAACAGAGUCAGCGAUUCAUGGCCGUUCAAGGAAAACCUGUAAAUGCCAGAGUUCCAAGUAAACACUACUGAGAAAACAAAGGGAGCAGAGCCAUGGUGAUGGGCCAUGUUGCUAGCAACGGCACCCGUCGCUAGCUCACAAAGGCUACUCAACAAAGAGUACCUGGUAGACUGCAUGCCAUACGGUCUUUUCACUUUGUAAUAUUUGAAAGCUUGGGAUAGGACUUCAAAUCAAAUCAAAUUGUAUUGGUCACAUACGUACACAUUAGCAGAUGCUUGCUAACCUCCUCCCGAAAACCAUUAUAGCUGACGUCAUAUAAACAUUGGAUGAAGACAAUGCUAACAGUGCUAAAAAUACCAUUACAAAACAGUGACAAUGCUAAUGAGUAGGCUACAAUAUACAUACAUUUUGUGACGUUUCUUGUUCAUCUCCUUUUCUCUUCAAUUUCAUUUACAUGUUUUGUUUUUCUCAUAUGCAACCAUGGCUGCAGUUGUGUCGUCUUUCAGGGUUCGAGCACCAUUUACACAUUUUUCACUGCAACCUGCUGACAGCAACAAUAGCCGCCAUUGACAACAACACAGAAUGCAGCAAUCCCGCUGCUUCACUCUGGACCUCGCUGUGAUCUCCCCUUGUGGGUUUAAUCAGGAAAAGGUUCAACAUUUCAGCAUUAAUCCUCUUUGUUUUGUUCUCCCUACAAAGAGGGAAAUGGUCCUUUCUCUCUCUUUCUCCCUCCCUCCCUCUCUCUCUCUCUCUCUCUCUCUCUCUCUCUCUCUCUCUGCAUCAUUUUAAUUAAAGUAAUGGCAGAGGCAACCCAGAGAAGUGUAAGACUCUUUAGUUUCUUUCGGGAUGACAUCAACGUCGUCGCCAUGAUACCGUUUUCUCAUUUAGGAUGUUCAAUAAAGUCACACUCAGCUAAGGGUCUACAGCUGUGUGUCCCAAACACGCUAGUACACUCGGCCUGCAAAUCACACCAAGCUUAGAGGUAGCCUUUGUUAGGUGCCGCAUCACUAGCCUUUGCAAGAACGGAAAGGAGGGAUAACCAGGGGGACAAGAAGACACGGUGCUAGGUGGUGACCUGAUUUCGCCCAGCCUGUCUGGCAGUGGUGACCAUUAUCCCAGCGCUCUUAUCAGCUGACUGGAUCAGAUGGACAGGGAUGAGGGAAUCUCUUCCACACCAUCCCGCCAUGGCCAGGAUACACAGGUCAUAGGUAAUCUGGAUUUGUUGUGUUGUCCGUCCCUCUUUCUGGCUAAACCACUUGUUACUAUAGGUCUUACACAACGAUUCUGGAUCGUAGCCGAUUCAUAAUGCUGCUCCGACCAUAUGCCACCUACUCAUCCCAGGGCAGCCAAAGUAGUAUCACUCCAAAUGCUAUGAUUGCAGUCACAUUCAUUUCACUGAGUACAUCAUGUAAGAACGGAUGAAUCACGUGGCAUAAAGGGUUGGACGAUUGACAAAAUGUGCUUCACUGAAUACUGAACCACAUACAGAAUGGAACUGUCUCCACUUUCUAUGUACUGAGGAGGUUAAUAGAACCCUCUCACGUGUGUGUUCCACAAUGUACUGACCUCGCACAAUAAACAAAUACGGGAACAUCCUUUGUCUCUGCAACGAUCCAUUCCACUCACACUCUUCAUCCCCAGUGUACAUUGCCCAACGUUGAACGUUGUAAUUUCACAGAUAACAUUUGUAUUCCUUCACUUUGCCAACUUGCAUGGACAAAGGUUAAUAGUUUCCAAUA
Oncorhynchus tshawytscha (Chinook salmon) is the source of this 1940-nucleotide long non-coding RNA. The record is from Ensembl. Lineage: Eukaryota; Metazoa; Chordata; Actinopteri; Salmoniformes; Salmonidae.